GACAGAGGGUGCAAACGUUGUUCGGAAUUACUGGGCGUAAAGCGUGUGUAGGCGGCUUUGCAAGUCGGAUGUGAAAGCCCCGGGCUCAACCCGGGAAGUGCACUCGAUACUGCAGAACUUGAGUGUGGGAGAGGUUGGUGGAAUUCUCGGUGUAGAGGUGAAAUUCGUAGAUAUCGAGAGGAACACCGGCGGCGAAGGCGGCCUUCUGGACGAUGACUGACGCUGAGACACGAAAGCGUGGGGAGCAAACAGG
This 253-nucleotide ribosomal RNA is filed under the name uncultured bacterium. Its description in RNAcentral is "partial 16S ribosomal RNA". It matches the Rfam family "Bacterial small subunit ribosomal RNA", at positions 524 to 776 of the family's 1533-position model. The record is from RNAcentral.